CACAAGCACGCUAUCUCACCCUGGCCACACACAAACCUAAACCCAAAUCGCACACUAGCCGCCGCCACCAUUCGUCUCCGUCGAUUCGGUCAUGCCGCUGCACGUCCCACCAUCGCCCGCGGGGGCCUACGCCACCCGAAGCUCCCGUACAUCUUGCAGUGCAGCUCCACCACCAGCAGCCUGAGGUGAAGCCCCGUCGUCAGCUCAUCCGGCGACCGACGCCACGUCUGCCGAUUCGGUCGCGCCGCUGCGCCUCCACCGCCAGCGGCGCCACGCGGCCACCCGAAGCUCUUGCCCAGCCCGUGGUGCAUCCCGACGUGUCGCCCUGGCGAUGGACGACCAGCCCAUCGAUUUGCGCUGGUGCUUCUCCGACUGCCAUUAGUCCCCCCAAAGGAUCCUUAUACCCCGUGCUUCCAUCCACAACCAAGGAGCAGCACAAACCCCUGCAUCCCGAGGUGCCAGCCAGCCGUCCCUCUUCCACCUCCGGUGAUGGCUCCCCUAUUCCCCCUUGUCCUGCCCUCCUUUGAAUCCAACCGUUGCAUCCUCGUCUUCAAUUGAAUCUAUUUACAGAGGGAAAACUCCACAAGAGGCUUCUGAAGCUUGGUCAAUACCUACAUGAGGAUUAUGAAAGGUUGAUGCAAGCCAGCUUCAGAAGGAGCUCAAGGCAUACAGGAAGACCGAGGACGAGGGGAUGAACAUACUUUUGAACACUACCUCCAUUUCUGUGCAGUUUCUCUCAAGGCACUAAGAUGUGAUAAAUCAUGAUGGCACACUAUCAACUUAUAUAAGUUCCUUGAGGGUAAAAGCAAGUAAUGAACAAGGUACUAGCUUUCUAUCCAUUCUUUUCUUUAUUCCGGCGUGAACUAUGUUGUCCUCCCUGAAAUGGUGAAAAAUGUCUAUAUAACCAUGUUAUGCAUGAUUUUGCUAUGUGUGUAACAUUUCAAGGGCAACUUCUUAGCUCAACUGAUGGCUGGAUGUCCUUUGUUACAAACGUGCAUGCUCUAACCAUUUGUUCUUUCUUGUCGUGAUGGAAGAUGUAACACCAUUUACUUGCUAGGUCACUUUCUUACAUUUUCUAAACAGAAUCAUUCAAGUUUCAAUGCUAAAUCAGAUUUGCUUACUAAAGGAUAUCAAUAAUUAUGCUAGGUCUAUGAAUAGUUUAGUGGCUUGUAGAUGAACUGAGCGCAUGUAGUAAUUAAAUGGACUAUAGAUGAACUCAGAGCACAUAGUAAAUGGCUGGCAUGAUUUUAUUAUAAAUUUUGUGAAGAUCAUCCUAGCAAUUACUCACACUAGACAAUGCCUAACUAGAGUGCAUCUAUUGAACCAAGAUGCAUGUGCAAUCAUAUGGUCUUCGAAAUGGCUUUUUUUUACCAAGUGCAUUUCCUGCUUUCACACAUAUGACUGGUGGUACAUGUACAAGUGCAUAUCUGAUUAUUUGAUGGUUGAGGACCUUCAAAUACAAAUUUGUAAAGUUACAAUAAGAACCUUAUUUGUUAUGCCUUGGAACAGAUCCGAGUCAAUGAGUGCAUAAUUUUUCUAUUAAGGCAUGUGAUAAACUAGUUGCUAGCCUGACUUUUGUUGGUACUUUGUUAAGGAUAUCUUCUGUAACCAAAUUAUUUGUAGUACAUCUUCUAUUUUUAUAUCUUUGGGAUCAAAGGCAACUCACAAAUUUGAACAAAUUCUCAUUUCUAAUAUUUCUCAAACAUGUAAGUUCUUUUGCAGCGAAAUGGCUCAUCCAGAAGUUGAUACAAGAUGUUUUGAUGGUCGGUUUUGUUCACAACAUGUUUGACACAUUUUGUGGAUAUGGAAGUUGAUGUCAGCUCGGUGAUCGAAGAGAUUUGGUCUCUUCGUUAAUAUUUUGUAGUAGUCAAGUGAUCGAACAAUUGGGUCUCUUAGGAGCCUGGCCAUCAUAUUUUGUAAUAGACCAUGUCUUGUAUGUCAACUUAUUUACUUAUUGGUUGUAGCUGACUUGAGUGUAGCAAACUACUGAAUCUUGUAUAUAUGCGUGAAUGAAUGUAUUAAUCAAUGGUAUGUUCUGAUGAAUCGAA
Long non-coding RNA from Triticum dicoccoides, 2048 nucleotides. RefSeq lists it as uncharacterized. The transcript has 4 exons. Lineage: Eukaryota; Viridiplantae; Streptophyta; Magnoliopsida; Poales; Poaceae. The record is from RefSeq and is a predicted model, not a curated record.